This is a long non-coding RNA of Drosophila montana, 270 nucleotides long. RefSeq lists it as uncharacterized. Lineage: Eukaryota; Metazoa; Arthropoda; Insecta; Diptera; Drosophilidae. The record is from RefSeq and is a predicted model, not a curated record. The transcript has 3 exons.
CUUGCAAUAUUUCGUUGAAUAAUGCUGAAUAAAGUCCAGUCUUGGACACAUUUUAACUUUUGGAAUCGUGAAAGCCUAUAGAAUCGAAAAAAAGAUCAGUGUUUUCGUGAUUAUACUUAAUUCAUUGUGUGUACAUCUGUGUGUUAAAAUUUUGAUUUAUUUUGUUCGGUUACGUGUGGCUUAUAACAGCUAACGGAAUUCUUUAUCUGUAACUUUGCUAGUCCAGGCGCUUUUGAAGUUGAAGAUGAAACAAGAAUAUCGCUUCUGGGA